Molecule: ribosomal RNA, 464 nt
Filed under: uncultured bacterium
Lineage: Bacteria
Description: partial 16S ribosomal RNA
Rfam family: Bacterial small subunit ribosomal RNA
Source: RNAcentral
CUACGGGGUGCAGCAGUGGGGAAUAUUGCACAAUGGGCGCAAGCCUGAUGCAGCCAUGCCGCGUGUAUGAAGAAGGCCUUCGGGUUGUAAAGUACUUUCAGCGGGGAGGAAGGGAGUAAAGUUAAUACCUUUGCCCAUUGACGUUACCCGCAGAAGAAGCACCGGCUAACUCCGUGCCAGCAGCCGCGGUAAUACGGAGGGUGCAAGCGUUAAUCGGAAUUACUGGGCGUAAAGCGCACGCAGGCGGUUUGUUAAGUCAGAUGUGAAAUCCCCGGGCUCAACCUGGGAACUGCAUCUGAUACUGGUAUGCUUGAGCGUCGUAGAGGGGGGUAGAAUUCCAGGUGUAGCGGUGAAAUGCGUAGAGAUCUGGAGGAAUACCGGUGGCGAAGGCGGCCCCCUGGACGAAGACUGACGCUCGGGUGCGAAAGCGUGGGAAGCAAACAGGAUUAGAUACCCGUGUAGUC